This 532-nucleotide long non-coding RNA is filed under the name Marmota monax (woodchuck). The record is from RNAcentral. Lineage: Eukaryota; Metazoa; Chordata; Mammalia; Rodentia; Sciuridae.
UCUUCCAGUAGGUGGAGCUGUGCCCUCCGAGCUGAGCUUCUGCCCUCUAUUUGCCGAUAGCAAUCCCUAUAAGGCGGCUCCUGGGAGUCUCUCAAUCCUGUUAGUCCAGAGCCGUUUCACUUCUCCGGACCCUCCCCCCCUUCCUCCUGCCAUCCAGCCAGCCAGGUCCUGUUCUCCAGAGGCGGUUCCCCAAAGAUCUGGAUACACUUGCAGCCCCACCGUGUGUCCUAUUUCCCGAACGACUGAGCGCUCUCUCCGUCAUUCAUCUAAGCCCCAGUGCUGUGGUGCGGUGAUCUGGGGACCAACAGUUUAAUUUUUCUGGACCCCUUUGGUGGGCAUGCCCCCGGAAACUGGCAGCUAAGACCUUGGGUGUCCCGCUGGUGGUAAGGGGAGUUGGGGAUUGGGAAUCCCCUCUGCUUCCCUACAGACACGCCCCCAGGGAGAUUCCCGAGGUUUCCUGGCUGCUUGUAUCUGGAGGGGGUGGGAGUCACACACCUGCUAAAGUGGAUUUCGCUGGGAAGGAAUUCCGUCG